AACAAGGCGUACCUGCGGACCUGCGGAAGGAUCAUCAUCGAAUUCAUAUCCCCCUCCUCUCCCGGAGGGGGACCCAUGAUAAACCCUUCUGUGCACCGUAAACCGUUCACUUUGGCAGGCUUUGGUGGUGGGCGUGAGCUCGCCUCCAACCUCGCGUUCCUCCCUCCCUAUAAGGGUUGCGUAGCGGCCUGCCGGAGUCCUAUUAAAAAACUCGUUUUCGAACACGUCUGAAAAUUUCCU
RNAcentral lists this unclassified non-coding RNA (240 nucleotides) under soil metagenome. RNAcentral describes it as "partial contains 5.8S ribosomal RNA, internal transcribed spacer 2, and large subunit ribosomal RNA". The record is from RNAcentral.